GACGAAGGAUUCAAGCGUUGUCCGGAUUUACUGGGUUUAAAGGGUGCGUAGGCGGAACUUUAAGUCAGUGGUGAAAGCUCUCGGCUCAACCGAGAAAUUGCCAUUGAAACUGAUUUUCUUGAAUACAGUUGAGGUAGAUGGAAUAUAACAUGUAGCGGUGAAAUGCUUAGAUAUGUUAUAGAACACCGAUUGCGAAGGCAGUCUGCUAAGCUGUUAUUGACGCUGAGGCACGAAAGCGUGGGGAGCAAACAGG
RNAcentral lists this ribosomal RNA (253 nucleotides) under uncultured bacterium. RNAcentral describes it as "partial 16S ribosomal RNA". It matches the Rfam family "Bacterial small subunit ribosomal RNA", at positions 524 to 776 of the family's 1533-position model. The record is from RNAcentral. RNAcentral also lists the same sequence under 1 other name.